RNAcentral lists this ribosomal RNA (463 nucleotides) under Escherichia coli LAU-EC7. Its description in RNAcentral is "bacterial SSU rRNA". It matches the Rfam family "Bacterial small subunit ribosomal RNA", at positions 1 to 461 of the family's 1533-position model. The record is from RNAcentral. Lineage: Bacteria; Pseudomonadati; Pseudomonadota; Gammaproteobacteria; Enterobacterales; Enterobacteriaceae.
AAUUGAAGAGUUUGAUCAUGGCUCAGAUUGAACGCUGGCGGCAGGCCUAACACAUGCAAGUCGAACGGUAACAGGAAGCAGCUUGCUGCUUUGCUGACGAGUGGCGGACGGGUGAGUAAUGUCUGGGAAACUGCCCGAUGGAGGGGGAUAACUACUGGAAACGGUAGCUAAUACCGCAUAACGUCGCAAGACCAAAGAGGGGGACCUUAGGGCCUCUUGCCAUCGGAUGUGCCCAGAUGGGAUUAGCUAGUAGGUGGGGUAAUGGCUCACCUAGGCGACGAUCCCUAGCUGGUCUGAGAGGAUGACCAGCCACACUGGAACUGAGACACGGUCCAGACUCCUACGGGAGGCAGCAGUGGGGAAUAUUGCACAAUGGGCGCAAGCCUGAUGCAGCCAUGCCGCGUGUAUGAAGAAGGCCUUCGGGUUGUAAAGUACUUUCAGCGGGGAGGAAGGGAGUAAAGUU